AGAGUUUGAUCAUGGCUCAGGAUGAAUGCUGGCGGCGUGGAUAGGGCAUGCAAGUCAAGGGGGCUCGAAAGAGCAACCGGCAGACGAGGUCAGUAACAUGUAAGAACGUACCCCAAAGUCUGGCAUAGCUCGUCGAAAGACGGGGUAAUUCCAGAUGGUCUCGAGAGAGUAAAGAUUUAUCGCUUUGGGAGCGGCUUGCACAGUAUCAGCUUGUUGGUGAGGUAAUGGCUCACCAAGGCUACGACGCUUAGGGGAGCUGAGAGGCUGACCCCCACCGAGGGAACUGAGACGCGGUCCCUACUCCUACGGGAGGCUGCAGUCGAGAAUAUUUCGCAAUGGACGAAAGUCUGACGGAGCGACGCCGCGUGGUAGAUGAAGUGCUUCGGCACGUAAAUACCUUUUAUGUGGGACGAAAUUAUUGACGGUACCACAUGAAUAAGGGGCUCCUAACUCUGUGCCAGCAGGAGCGGUAAUACAGAGGCCCCAAGCAUUAUCCGGAAUCACUGGGCGUAAAGGGUGUCGAGGCGGUUAUGUUAGUCGUUCGUUAAAUCCGGGGGCUCAACCUCCGGGCUGCGAGCGAAACGGCAUGACUUGAGGUUGGAAGAGGUGCAUGGAACUCACGGUGUAGGGGUGAAAUCCGUUGAUAUCGUGGGGAACACCAAAGGCGAAGGCAGUGCACUGGUCCAAAUCUGACGCUCACACACGAAAGCCAGGGUAGCGAACGGGAUUAGAUACCCUAGUAGUCC
RNAcentral lists this ribosomal RNA (746 nucleotides) under uncultured bacterium. Its description in RNAcentral is "bacterial SSU rRNA". It matches the Rfam family "Bacterial small subunit ribosomal RNA", at positions 8 to 796 of the family's 1533-position model. The record is from RNAcentral.